This 559-nucleotide long non-coding RNA is filed under the name Chinchilla lanigera (long-tailed chinchilla). RNAcentral's name for it is "lncRNA (ENSCLAG00000025015.1)". Lineage: Eukaryota; Metazoa; Chordata; Mammalia; Rodentia; Chinchillidae. The record is from RNAcentral.
UAUUUUGGAAUAAUUGACUUGCAGAUUUUUCCUUUUAUUUUCAAAAUAUAUGGCAAUAUUUUUAGAAUGAGUUAAUAGAAAUAUUUAAUUCAUAGUAAAUCAAUAGUACUGUUUCCUUAUAUCUAGAAUGACUAUGAUGUUGGCUAUAAAUAUGAAGCCUUCUUUCACACGUCAUUAUUUUCAAGAAUGACAUAUUCUCAAGCAAUGUGUGAAUGUGAAUUGUGUAAGAAUUUCUUGCACGAAAUUCAGGCAAAGAAACCAAAAGAAUCAUCUGUGACUUGAACUACGGCUUCAGGAAAAGUCCUCCCUACAUUUCCGUCCUAAUGUUAAGAAAGGCAUCAUCUAGUCUAGUGCAGAUGGAAAUGAGCAUUUUGAUGAGAAUGAAGACCAUGAAAUGCCAUCUUCUGAGAAGAAAAAACAAAAAACACUGCAUGUAGACUCUUGGCAUUUUCUGUAUUCUGCGCCUGACUGCUCUGAAUUCAGAUGUCCUCUCUCAGAAGGUAAGGACUGAGUUUUGGACCUUUUCCUAUUGGUAGUGCUGAGGGUUUGCUCUUUGCUA